Pseudoliparis swirei is the source of this 1753-nucleotide long non-coding RNA. RefSeq lists it as uncharacterized. The record is from RefSeq and is a predicted model, not a curated record. NCBI's taxonomy places the organism in Eukaryota, Metazoa, Chordata, Actinopteri, Perciformes, Liparidae. The transcript is spliced from 2 exons.
CCGCGGUGAGAUUCACGCUCGUCGCUGACGCUGCACGUUGAUUAACGAAGUCAUGCUGUGCAUUUUACCUCCAUUUCGCAGACUGUUGACACACUGCAUGAUACACGAGUGCCCUUAGUCUCUGUUCCAAAUAAUCCGGUGUGAUGUAACGCAGCUAAUGACGAACACACGUGACCUUUCUGGGUUUGUGACGCAUUUUGAUACUUCAUGUUAGAGCCUUCGUGACAUUUGCUUCAUUAGACAUGAAGAUUUCAGUCCUGACUGAGUAAUUAAUGCAUUAGUCACAUUUCCACGUGUUAAAUGAUUUGCGAUACUUGAUGCAGAAUUCUGGCCCGCGGACAAACUGAGUUUUUUUUCUUCUUAUCCUUGAAUGCACUUGCAGAUUAGAGCGGCUGCAGAUCUUUUCCGAUUGCAUCUCACAGGGAUCCGCUGGAGCACAGAACAUUAUCUGUAAUUGGGGGUUUAGUGAUCAAAGCUCACAAAUGGAAAUCAUUUGAAAAAUGACGUUAUUUAAUGUGCAAUUGACGUUUUUGUGAUGUUUUUGUGUGUCUUUAACAUUUGCAAUCUAAAUGGGAUCUCAGCGUUCAGGAUUCUUCUGGUUGGUUUGCUUGAACGAAAUAGGACCACUUCGUUGACUUUUGUAUUUUUGGUGUGACUGGUCAUUGAGUCUAACUACAAAAAAAAUAGAGCUGAACUAUAGAUUCUUUACGGUCUGCUGAACAGACAAGAAGAGAAGUCUGAAAAUUUCGAGGGAAAAGCGAAAUAUCUGACUUGUUGAGACUUAACUUAAUGUAAGAUAGUGCGGUUCAUAUUGCUGGGAUACUAGGAAAUAGAUCAAUCAGAUUCAACUGAUUAACUCUUUUCCCUCUUUGAGAAUAAGAUGUGAUUAUGUACAUUGAAAUAAUAAUACAAAUAUAUGAUGAAAGGGGCAGUGUGUAACUGUUAGUGAGACACCAACAGCAAGAAGGAACAAAUAAGAGAAGAAGAUUUCAAAGAAAAAGUCAACAAUUAGGAUGUGAAAGCCCAAUUGUGGGAAAAUGAGGAUUAAACAAGAAAAAAGGAAAGGGGAACUAUAAAGGGAACAUGCUGAACCAUGUGAGAGAGAAAGAGAGAGCGAAAGAAAGAAGUAUGGUUGGCAAAAAGAAGUGAGCAGCUGAAGAAGUUUCUUAAUGACCUCAAGACUUGAAAAGUCUUUGCGAGCGAACAAGUGAACUAGAGAGGCAGAUGAAAGAAGAGGGGGAUGAAAAGAAUAAUAAAACAGAGCUGAAACGGGAGCGAAAGAAGGCGUCUGAGGAGAUGGUUGGAGAGGCUGAAAGACGAGAGCGAGCGAGGAGACACAUCGACGGCGAAGAGAAGAAAUGAGGAAGAUCUGUGAAGGAGAGGCCAGAGAUGAUGAAGACGGUAACCCCGACGACGAAAGCAAUUCCCCACAACAUGGUCUCAAAGACAUCCGGAGGAGAUCGAACCGACGCCGCCGCUGAUGAAGAAAGGGAAACAACAAGCAGAGGUGGAUGAAGGAUGAACAUCAAAGAGGAACGGGUCGAUAAUAUAUUAAUGCGACUGUAAUUACAAAUGAAAAAAACAUCUUGGUCUAUGAUGUUCACACGAGAAACUCCUCCUCCAAAGACACGUUUGGGAUUCUGUGCAUCCAUUAGAGAACACAACUCUCAAGUUAUUUUACAGAGAUGGAAAAUUCCCCGUUUCACCAGCAGUUUUUGGAAAAAAUUAAAGGAAGGAAAACUUCACACAUUUA